RNAcentral lists this ribosomal RNA (347 nucleotides) under uncultured bacterium. RNAcentral's name for it is "bacterial SSU rRNA". It matches the Rfam family "Bacterial small subunit ribosomal RNA", at positions 133 to 507 of the family's 1533-position model. The record is from RNAcentral.
AAAGUAAGGGAUAAGCCACCGAAAGGUGGUCUAAUACCUUAUAGUAUCCAUCUCGUAUGGAUUAAAGCUUUAUGCGCUUUGGGAGGGGCCUGCGUUUGAUUAGCUAGUUGGUGAGGUAAAAGCUCACCAAGGCGACGAUCAAUAGCUGGUUUGAGAGGAUGACCAGCCACACUGGGACUGAGAUACGGCCCAGACUCCUACGGGAGGCAGCAGUAAGGAAUCUUCCACAAUGGGGGCAACCCUGAUGGAGCAAUACCGCGUGCGGGAUGAAGCGUUUCGGCGUGUAAACUGCUUUAUCACCGAAGAUUAUGACUGUAGGUGAAGAAUAAGGACCGGCUAACUACGUG